UGGGGAAUCUUGGACAAUGGGCGCAAGCCUGAUCCAGCCAUGCCGCGUGAGCGAUGAAGGCCUUAGGGUUGUAAAGCUCUUUCACCGGUGAAGAUAAUGACGGUAGCCGGAGAAGAAGCCCCGGCUAACUCCGUGCCAGCAGCCGCGGUAAUACGGAGGGGGCUAGCGUUGUUCGGAAUUACUGGGCGUAAAGCGCGCGUAGGCGGACUGAUCAGUCAGGGGUGAAAUCCCGGGGCUCAACCCCGGAACUGCCUCCAAAACUAUUGGUCUAGAGUUCGAGAGAGGUGAGUGGAAUUCCAAGUGUAGAGGUGAAAUUCGUAGAUAUUUUGGGAGGAACACCAGUGGCGAAGGCGGCUCACUGGCUCGAUACUGACGCUGAGGUGCGAAAGUGUGGGGAGCAAACAGGAUUAGAUACCCUGGUAGUCCACACCGUAAACGAUGAAUGCCAGUCGUCGGGUAGCAUGCUAUUCGGUGACACACCUAACGGAUUAAGCAUUCCGCCUGGGAGUACGGUCGCAAGAUUAAAAGCUCAAA
This 534-nucleotide ribosomal RNA is filed under the name uncultured bacterium. RNAcentral describes it as "bacterial SSU rRNA". It matches the Rfam family "Bacterial small subunit ribosomal RNA", at positions 355 to 905 of the family's 1533-position model. The record is from RNAcentral.